Molecule: ribosomal RNA, 449 nt
Filed under: uncultured bacterium
Lineage: Bacteria
Description: partial 16S ribosomal RNA
Rfam family: Bacterial small subunit ribosomal RNA
Source: RNAcentral
AACGAACGCUGGCGGCAUGCCUAACACAUGCAAGUCGAACGAGAUCUUCGGGUCUAGUGGCGCACGGGUGCGUAACGCGUGGGAAUCUGCCCUUUGGUUCGGAGUAACAGUUGGAAACGACUGCUAAUACCGGAUGAUGACGAAAGUCCAAAGAUUUAUCGCCAGAGGAUGAGCCCGCGUAGGAUUAGCUAGUUGGUGUGGUAAAGGCGCACCAAGGCGACGAUCCUUAGCUGGUCUGAGAGGAUGAUCAGCCACACUGGGACUGAGACACGGCCCAGACUCCUACGGGGGGCAGCAGUGGGGAAUAUUGGACAAUGGGCGAAAGCCUGAUCCAGCAAGGCCGCGUGAGUGAUGAAGGCCUUAGGGUUGUAAAGCUCUUUUACCCGGGAUGAUAAUGACAGUACCGGGAGAAUAAGCUCCGGCUAACUCCGUGCCAGCAGCCGCCGUAA